UCUAAUAUGGCAGAAAUUAAGUGCAAUGAAUUUAAACUUCAUAAAUAAAGUUAGUUAUACUUUUUUUAGAA
RNAcentral lists this transfer RNA (71 nucleotides) under Pachymantis bicingulata. RNAcentral describes it as "tRNA-Leu". The record is from RNAcentral. Lineage: Eukaryota; Metazoa; Arthropoda; Insecta; Mantodea; Hymenopodidae.